GGACUACUGGGGUUUCUAAUCCCAUUCGCUACCCACGCUUUCGUGUUUCAGCGUCAAGAAUGCUCCAGUCUCCUGCCUUCGCUUUUGGUGUUCCCCAUGAUAUCAACGCAUUUCACCGCUACACCAUGAGUUCCAGAGACCCCUCGCAUCUUCUAGCUGUGCCGUUUCCCGCGCAUGUCCCCGGUUGAGCCGAAGAAUUUAACGCAAGACUAACACAGCCGCCUACACACCCUUUACGCCCAAUAAUUCCGGAUAACGCUUGAGGCACUCGUAUUACCGCGGCUGCUGGCAC
RNAcentral lists this ribosomal RNA (292 nucleotides) under uncultured bacterium. RNAcentral's name for it is "partial 16S ribosomal RNA". The record is from RNAcentral.